CAGGGGGCUGAGGCAGCCGCGUGUGCUUUAGGGUGCGCGAGGAAAGUCCGGGCUCCACGAAACAUGGGUGGCGGGUAACGCCCGCCGAGUGGUGGCCUUCGGGUCAGCGCCUAGGGAAAGUGCCACAGAAAGCAUACCGCCGAUGGCUCCAUUGGAGAACAGGCAAGGAUGAAAGGGUGCGGUAAGAGCGCACCGGGGUUCUGGUAACAGCGCCCGCAUGGCAAACCCCACCCGGAGCAAGGCCAAAUAGGGGUCUCGCGCUCACCGCAAGGUAGGGCAGGGGUGUUUCGCCCUGAGGAGACCCGGGUUGGCUGCUUGAGCGCACUUGGCAACAGGUCGCCCAGAUGAAUGGUUGCCGCCGCGGAAGCUGGUCACCGAGGAAACGAGGUCGAUACCGUCCGUGGAUACAGAACCCGGCUUAUGACGCCCCCUGAUAU
Molecule: RNase P RNA, 437 nt
Filed under: Erythrobacter longus
Lineage: Bacteria; Pseudomonadati; Pseudomonadota; Alphaproteobacteria; Sphingomonadales; Erythrobacteraceae
Description: Bacterial RNase P class A
Rfam family: Bacterial RNase P class A
About the family: Ribonuclease P (RNase P) is a ubiquitous endoribonuclease, found in archaea, bacteria and eukarya as well as chloroplasts and mitochondria.
Source: Rfam by way of RNAcentral